ACACAGGUAGCUCAGUUGGUAGAGCGGCGGUCUCCAAAGCCGUUGGUCGUAGGUUCGAAUCCUGCCCUGUGUG
Molecule: transfer RNA, 73 nt
Filed under: Hymenobacter aranciens
Lineage: Bacteria; Pseudomonadati; Bacteroidota; Cytophagia; Cytophagales; Hymenobacteraceae
Description: tRNA-Trp
Rfam family: tRNA
About the family: Transfer RNA (tRNA) molecules are approximately 80 nucleotides in length. Their secondary structure includes four short double-helical elements and three loops (D, anti-codon, and T loops).
Source: RNAcentral